AUGGGUUUCUCUGGUGCUGUGCAAUGGUGGGAUGACUGGCAUCUGCGCAUCCUGGUGCUGGGCAGCCUCUUCAUCCAGUACUUCCUCUUCUUCUCCUCCUUGGUGCGGAGGCGUGCUCUUCCAGCUUGGUUCAGACUCUUCAUCUGGCUUGCCUAUCUAGGCGGCGAUGCUCUGGCGAUAUAUUCGCUGGCCACCCUCUUCAACCGCCACAGGCAGCCGCCCGGCGAUGGGAGCGGGAGCGGCCUGGAGGUCGUAUGGGCGCCUGUCCUCCUCAUCCACCUCGGCGGCCAGCACACCAUGACUGCCUACAGCAUCCAAGACAACGAGCUGUGGGUGCGGCAUGCCAUAACCGUGGCAUCCCAGAUCACCGUCGCCCUCUACGUCUUCUGUAUGUCGUGGUCUGGCGAGAAGAAGUUGCUGCAGGCCGCAAUCUUGAUGUUUGUCGUUGGGAUCAUCAGAUCCUGCCAGAAGCCAUGGGCUCUCCAGAGCGCCAGUAUCAGUGCCAUGGUUGCCUAUUUGUCUCCGUCCGCGCUAAGGAGACAAGGUAUGGUUGCACGUUUUUGGCAGGUCUGCACUUCCGGAUACAGCUAUGGAUCUAAGUCAACUAGAUUACCAGAAGCAGCAGCCGAAGAGAAGGACAUUUAUCUUCAAGAAUUUGCACAAGAAGCAAGAAAGUGCGUACUGGAGUCAGAGUUAGCCCAUGAUCAAGACGCAGCGGUAAAACUAGCUCAACACUGCUUGGUGGACAAGUAUGUCUACAGGCUACUUGCAGACAUACCAGUUCCAUACUCUAGUCGGAUUAAAAUCUUACGGGAAUUCAUUGCCCUUGAUUUCCGACAUGCACAUCACAUAUUGGACAUGAUGCUCCUUUCCUCCUUUGAGCACUGCUACACGAGAAAGACGAUGCUAAAUAGUGGCCUUGGCUUAUGUUCGUAUUUGUUGCUCCCAUUCCUAGCCUUAGCUUCUGUCAUCCUCUUCUCCAUAGGCCACAAAUACUACCAUGACUACAAUGCAACCGAUGUCAAGGUAACUUACAUCUUGUUCUCUUGUACGACGUUGCUAGAAGUCAUAAUUCUCUUGCUCGAUCCUUUCAUCAGUUUCACAGAAUCAGUCAAGGUUUCCCAGCAUAGCCUCUUGUCGUGUGGUUAUCGCGCCAAGCGGCCAACUGUUUUGAUGAAGCUUGCCACACUUGUCUCCUGCAAGGACUAUGUUAACAUGCAUUGUUAUAUAGAAGAAGCACCACCAGGAUGCUCUGCCCUAAUUUUACAGUUUGUUCAUGGAUAUGUGAGGGGUGGGUGGAAAGAGUACAUCCACAAUGCUGCUAGCUUCAGGAACUUCAAUGGCCGCAAGGGCCACUGGACUCUGAAGAAGAGGAGCCUUCCUCACUUGAGGUGGAGCUUGAACAUGGCGUUUGAUAGAAGCGUCCUGCUCUGGCACAUCACCACGGACCUCCUCUGUUAUGAUUACACCACCGCCGGUAACAUUCCUGAGUGCGCCACUGGGAGUGCGGUGAUAUCACGCUACAUGGCUUACCUGCUCUGCAUCCAUCCUGAGAUGCUGAUGCCCGGGACAAGGAACAGUAUCUUCAACGUUGCCUGCCAUAAUGUCGAGCUGAUACUGGGCGACAAGUCACCCUUGGGAAAUCUUGUCCACAAUGCAGUAAGACUUCAGAAAGAGUUGUUGGAGCUGCAGGACGAAGGGGAGAGGUGGGAGGUCGUCCAGGGGGUAUGGGUUGAGAUGCUAUGCUACUCUGCCUGUAAGUGCAGGGGAUACUUGCACGCCCAAAAAAUGAGCGAUGGUGUGGAACUCUUGUCCCGUGUCUGGCUACUCUUGUCAAACAUGGGGAUGGAGACAUUCGCAGACAGGUUUCAGAAGCCGUGGCACGUCAUGAUCAGAAAAGAAGCACCUGAUGAUGAUAAAGAAGAAGAAGGCCAUGAAGAUGGCGCCGGCAGAGAUGUCGACAACGAGAUUAACAUAUCUGUUGUCUAA
RNAcentral lists this ribosomal RNA (1989 nucleotides) under Triticum aestivum (bread wheat). Its description in RNAcentral is "partial small subunit ribosomal RNA". The record is from RNAcentral. Lineage: Eukaryota; Viridiplantae; Streptophyta; Magnoliopsida; Poales; Poaceae.